CAAGACGUAGCUAUAAUUUAAAGCAUUCAGCUUACACCUGAAAGAUAUCUGGUCAACCCUCAGAUCGUCUUGA
This 73-nucleotide transfer RNA is filed under the name Nyctiprogne leucopyga. Its description in RNAcentral is "tRNA-Val". It matches the Rfam family "tRNA". Rfam says of the family: Transfer RNA (tRNA) molecules are approximately 80 nucleotides in length. Their secondary structure includes four short double-helical elements and three loops (D, anti-codon, and T loops). Lineage: Eukaryota; Metazoa; Chordata; Aves; Caprimulgiformes; Caprimulgidae. The record is from RNAcentral.